Helianthus annuus (common sunflower) is the source of this 4130-nucleotide long non-coding RNA. RefSeq lists it as uncharacterized. The transcript has 13 exons. The record is from RefSeq and is a predicted model, not a curated record. NCBI's taxonomy places the organism in Eukaryota, Viridiplantae, Streptophyta, Magnoliopsida, Asterales, Asteraceae.
UAAAUAUCAUCUUUCAAUAAAGAAAGAAAUCAAGAACUCCCUUCAUACGGAUCUUAAAAAUGGCAUUGCCAAACCAAAUAGCUCCACCUUGAGUGGUGUUCAUCUAUAAUUCUUGAUUCAUCUUCAAUCCUACUGAAAGUCUAAAACCCUAAAAUCCGUAUUCAUGUAUAUGUACAUCAAUAUGUAGGUUUUGAAGAGGGGUUUUCGCAUUCAUGGUCAGCCAAGGGUUAGGAUGAAGAUGCAGUGAGAUGAUGACACAUAUAAAGGUCUCUAUUCCGUUGUAUAAUGUAUUCAGUCCUGUUUUUUGUUGAUUUCAAGUGUUCAUAUUUCUUUUAGUCAGACAUGCUUUCUCUUGUAAAAAUAAUGCUUGGAGAUGCUCAGGAUCUAUCAUUGAGAAGUAAAAUCUCUCAGCCUUAAUAUGUGUAUUUAGAGUUUGGAUCGGAUAAUUAAUUAGAUUUGGGCAGACUACUCUUGAUUGUCGAUGAGACCUUGUCAAAUUCUUUUGGAAGGCCUCAGAAACCGUUGUUGAUUUGCUCCAGAUGCCUUAGUUGAAGGAAAAAUGAAAUGACAAAAAUGCCCUUGGCAGCUUUAACAGAUAUGGAUGGAGGUACUGUUGAAGCAGCAGGGUGUGUGGGGAUUCAUUCAUACAUCCACUUGUACGGUUUUGUUGUAGGUAUCUCCACAACAACAAGUUGACGGGAUCCAUUCCUCCAGAGCUCGGGAACAUGUCAAAGCUCCAUUACUUGGAACUGAACGAUAAUCAGCUCACUGGUCAUAUUCCACCUGAACUCGGAAAGCUUACCGACUUGUUUGACAUUAAUAUUGCGGGAAAUAAACUUGAGGGACACAUACAUGAUAAUCUUAGCUCAUGCACUAAUCUCAACAGCCUCAACGUGCAUGGAAACAAGUUAAAGGGUACGAUCCCUGCUCAACUUCAGAGGCUAGAAAGCAUGACAUACUUGUAAGUACCCCAUUCUCGAUCGCAUUUAUGAUGCUCAAAAACAUGUUUACGAAAUUUAUGUUUUUUAUACGAUUGGGAAUCUUUCGUCAAACAACAUUGUGGGUCCUAUUCCGAUUGAGUUGUCUCGGAUUGGUAACUUGGAUACAUUGUAAGUUGUUCUAAACUGUUGAUGACUUUAACGUAAUCGAACUAUCGGUUGUGAUAACUGUUUGUUUGUUUUAUUUAAAUAGGGACCUUUCAAACAACAAAAUUAGCAGGCUGAUCCCUUCUUCGCUUUUCAUCGCUUGCGCUUUCAUAUAAGUCAUAGUAAAUACCGUUACAGUUAGUACUCUAUUAAGCUUUUGAUUAUAUGAUAUUGGUAGACCAGUAAGAAAAUAUUAUGUAAAUUUUCUUAACUUAUAAACAAGUAAUAUGUAAUUACAAUAUAUUUUUUGGAACAAUUGGGUGUGUUUUCCUUUAUCCUCCAGGUAGGGGUUGGUUUGGGGAUUGGGGGAGGGUCUGUUUGGCUAUGGUUAUAGGUUUGUAUGGUUAGGAUUAUGUUGUAUCCGUGGCACAUGGGGGGCAAUCUGAUCCACACAGUUCGUUUUCUGUAGUUGACCGUGGAACAUUCAAGCCGUGUGCUUUACAGAUUUGUGUUGAUAUUUUAUAGAACUUCAAGUCUAAAAUUUGUGUCUGUGAAUAGAGGUGGCAAGCCGACCAAUUUUUAGUCUUAUUAGGAGGCUGCAUGCUUUCAAAGUAGACCAUGGGCAGCUUUCGCCUGCUUGACCCAUUUCUGUUCAUGCUAAAAAAAAUUACUUGACCCGUUUGAGAUGAAAUGCUUUGUUUUCUUAUUCGGGACUUCAUCCUAGAAGUUGUAUAUUUGGGUUACCUAUACCCUGUACCAUAUGUUUUACAGUAUGUUUUACCAUAAUACCAUCUAACUUGAAGUGCAAGUGCAUUGCAUCUGUAAGUUUUCAGGUAUUCUGAAUUUGUUUUAAAAGCCUCUCCUGUGGCAUGACCUAUAUCUGGCACAUUUAUAACUAGGGAUGAGCACGGUACCCGUACCGGUACCGAAAAAUGGGGAAAAUGGGAACCGGUCCCGAAUAUACCCGGUACGGUUCGGUACCGGUACCCAGUACCAAAUGCUCAUCUCUAUUUAGAACUUUAUAUGUUAAAUUCAUUCCUACACAAUUGCAGGUGGUUCUGUAUUAGAAUACAUGCAAAGGUCUCUUGUUCAAUUUAAAACAAUACUAGCUAAUUUUGUAAUCAGGUCCUCUGGCCUUGGUGGUAAAUGAUUCAUACUGAUUAUGUCCCUCAAAAUAUGAAUUUUUCUUUAUUGGUAAAUUUUGUUUUCUUUUGCAAUUUUUCAAUUUGGCCGAAAUACAAGUUGGUCCGAACCUUUUGGGUGUUUAAGUGUUUGAUAAGUAGUUAAAGGCUUUUUGUAUCAAUAUGAUGUUUCUGUAUUUAGUAUAGCUAAUAUUUUUUUAAUGAUUUGAUUCGUAGUUGGCUGAUGCGUAUCAUGUUCCCGCCAUGUAUCAAUUUAAACUUCUGAUUCAUCAGUGAAUAUAAAAACAUUAAUAUGACCGGGUGAAUCUAAAAGCUACGUGCAGUUAGAUAGAUAGGAGUUAAAGAGAAGAAGUGAUGUACUGAAAUGUAAUUUUGCCAUAUGUAUCAAUUUUAAAGCAACAUGUACAAGGUGCUUAAAGCCAUUGUUCUCCAAAAUUUUAAGACAUUGUAGGGUUAAUCUUGGGAUUUCACAUGGUAUUCUAAAAGAACCCUAAUAAAAGCGUGGAAUAAUUUGACGAUCAAACUGGCGUCUCUUGAUUUCCCCUGAAUUGAAUUGGUGAUUCGUCGCUUCACAGUUUAUCGCUUCACUAAUUAAUGCUUUCAUCGCCAUCUCCUCCUUCCAUUCCAAUUUAAAACUCCUGAUGAUGUUUGAAGCCGAGAAGAAACAAGAAACGGGGACGACGAUGAUGAUGUGCACUCGGUUAUUCUGCACAUGAUUACUGGAAGAAGGUGAGAUUGUUUUGGAUGUGGAGGUUGUUGGUAAACAAGGGGCAGGGGGUGAUGUUGAGAAGUGGAUUGAUGUGAUUCGGAUCAGGUUAGAGGGUAUAACGGUUAAUGAUGUGAAUAAGUAAGAUAUAUAAUGACUGAUUUGAUUAAUGAGGUUUUUGAUUGUUUGGUUUAACGGGUUGAUAUUUAGAUUGUAGAUCGUUUAAUGGAGUCUGUUCUAGGCUCGAGGAUAUGCUGGAUACUUUGUCGACAUUGCUUUCGGAAAAUUCUGUGUUGAAAGUUGGCAUUUGCUGCUAUUCAGUUAGUUAAUUCGGUAUUUUGUCAUGUAACUUGAAUGAUGUUUGUUCAAGUAAUAGCGUAUUGGCAGAGGGAGUACGCGAUGGAAGAUAUACUGACACAACUGAAGAAAGAAAUGUCGGCCCCACACAACCGGAAGUUUGUUCAGCCACCAGAAGGUUGAUGUGUCUGUUUUCAAGCAGCCACAAUGCAAAAGUGAAAUUUCAACUUCAGAAGUGUUCACCAACCUGGAUUCUUCACUGGGGUUGCAUCUAUAAUGGAAACAAUGUUAGUGGUCGCUGGCAGUAGUGUUGGGGCAGUGUCAAGGGGAUUUAGGGGGUGAUGAUUGUGGGAAGUGUGUGAAAAGUGCAGUGCAGAGGGCUGAAGUGGAGUGUGGGGGUUCAACUUCAUCUUCAUCUUCAUCAGAUUCUUCGUAUUCUUCAUCGUCAGAUUCUUCGUAUUAUUCACCAUCUUCUUCUUCAUCAGGAACAGAUUCAAAUACAGGGAAGACAGUGGCAAUUAUCUUGGGAAGGGCAGCAGGAGUUGGAUUUUUAGUAAUAUUUGUAUUAUUUGCUAAAAAUGCAGCAAAGAAACAUGAUGUUGGCAAACCCAGGUUUGUGGUCUGAUGGAGUGUUGGUCUAGAAGUGUUCUGUCUUGGCACUGGACGAGGGAGGCGAGGCUACUAAAUGAUUCACUGACUUCCAAUUAUAGAUGUAGCUUGGUUUGUAAAGAGUACUUGAUGUUCACUUGGUCUCAGUGACGUGUAUAGUGUACAUAUUCAAAGGAAGCUUAAAUAUCAUUGAGUAUCAUUGGUUUAUAGGUGAAACUAGAUGAGAAAUACUCAAUUUGUUGCGACUUUUUAAUCAUCUUUGUUAUUUUAUACCUAACAAGGCUUAUAGAA